UGGGGGUCCACUCCAGACCCUAUUUUCCUGGGUCCCUCCUGGACCUGAAGGUGUCAACAGUGGAGGCUGCAGAAGAGCAAAGAUGGCUGCCUGCUCCUUUCUCUGGGAGCUCUGUCCCAGAGGGGCACCAACUUAAUACUAGCAGGAAUGCUCUUGCAUAAGGUGUCUGGCAACCUCUGUUGAGAAGUCUCACCCAGUCAGGAGGUACAGGAUCAGAGACCUGUUUAACAAAGCACUCUGGCUGCCCCCUUAGCGGAGAUGGUGCACUGUGCUGUGGGGAAGCCCACUCAUCUGGACUGCCUGGAUUUCUCAGAGCCAGCUGGCAGAAAGACUGAGUCAGCUGAUCCAGAGACCGUGACCAUCCCUCUCCACAUGAGGCUUCGUCCCAGGAAGAUUAGAGUUUUGUCCAUAAACACCUGGCUGGAGUUGCUGAAAUUCCCGCAGGGAGGCCCCACCUAGUGAGGAGGGAUAGGUCAGGGGUCCGGCCUAAAGAGGCAGUCUGGCCACAAUCGACCACAACCACUGUGCUGCACUGUGGAAAAUUCCUCAUGGAUCCAAAUUGCAGACUAGAGCUGCAGUGGUGACUGCUGCCCCUCCCCCAAGCAGCUCAGUCAUCUUAGGCCAAAGGCAGCCGUAGGGAUGAUGGCUCCCCGCCUCCCCCAACCCGGAACUCAGUAGCUCAGUAGUCUUCAGCAGUCUCCAGCUGAGUGGUCACUGAGAAUCUGUACAGCUCUGUGCUUGGGACCCAAGGCCCUGGUGGCAUGGGCUCACAAGGGGGACCUUCUGAUCUGCAGCUUGCACAGAUCCAUGGAAAAAGUGUGGUUUUCUGUGAUAAAAUAUUUUAAAUGGUCCAUUUGCAAGGCAUGAUAAAUCUAAGUAUGGCAGCCAGUCUGCAAAUGUGACAAACUGCAUGGCUCAUGCACCUAGAAGGUCACAAUAAGCGAACAGAAUGUAGAGGAGGGUCAACCCAUAAGAGAGAAGAAAGUUCCCUUUCCCCUGACUGGCAGCGCGAGGCCGCAUGAUGCCUGCAGUUACUGUAAAAGACAUGAACCAGCAGGAGUUCGUCAGAGCUCUGGCAACCUUCCUCAAAAAGUCCAGGAAGCUGAAAGUCCCCGAAUGGGUGGACACCGUCAAGCUAGCCAAGCACAAAGAGCUUGCUCCCCAUGAUGAGAACUGGUUCUACACACGAGCUGCUUCCACAGCGCGGCACCUCUACCUCCGGGGUGGCGCUGGGGUUGGCUCCAUGACCAAGAUCUAUGGGGGACGUCAGAGAAACGGCGUCACGCCCAGCCACGUCAGCCAAGGCUCCAAGAGUGUGGCUCGCCGAGUCCUCCAAGCCCUGGAGGGGCUGAAAAUGGUGGAAAAGGACCAAGAUGGGGGCCGCAAACUGACACCUCAGGGACAGAGAGAUCUGGACAGAAUUGCCGGGCAGGUGGCAGCUGCCAACAAGAAGCAUUAGAACAAACCAUGCUGGGUUAAUAAAUUGCCUCAUUCGUUAAAAAAAAAAAAAAAAAGAAAA
Molecule: non-coding RNA, 1519 nt
Organism: Macaca mulatta (Rhesus monkey)
Lineage: Eukaryota; Metazoa; Chordata; Mammalia; Primates; Cercopithecidae
Source: RefSeq, a predicted model, not a curated record